AUUGAACGCUGGCGGAAUGCUUUACACAUGCAAGUCGAGCGGCAGCACGGGGGCAACCCUGGUGGCGAGCGGCGAACGGGUGAGUAAUACAUCGGAACAUGCCCAGUCGUGGGGGAUAACACUUCGAAAGAAGUGCUAAUACCGCAUACGUCCUGAGGGGGAAAGCGGGGGAUCGCAAGACCUCGCGCGAUUGGAGUGGCCGAUGUCAGAUUAGCUAGUUGGUGGGGUAAAGGCCUACCAAGGCAACGAUCUGUAGCUGGUCUGAGAGGAUGAUCAGCCACACUGGGACUGAGACACGGCCCAGACUCCUACGGGAGGCAGCAGUGGGGAAUUUUGGACAAUGGGGGCAACCCCGAUCCAGCCAUUCCGCGUGAGUGAAGAAGGCCUUCGGGUUGUAAAGCUCUUUCGGCAGGAACGAAACGGUGGGCUCUAACAUAGCUUGCUAAUGACGGUACCUGAAGAAGAAGCACCGGCUAACUACGUG
This 484-nucleotide ribosomal RNA is filed under the name uncultured bacterium. Its description in RNAcentral is "partial 16S ribosomal RNA". It matches the Rfam family "Bacterial small subunit ribosomal RNA", at positions 30 to 507 of the family's 1533-position model. The record is from RNAcentral.